This 395-nucleotide ribosomal RNA is filed under the name uncultured bacterium. RNAcentral describes it as "partial 16S ribosomal RNA". It matches the Rfam family "Bacterial small subunit ribosomal RNA", at positions 361 to 773 of the family's 1533-position model. The record is from RNAcentral.
AUCUUGCGCAAUGGGCGAAAGCCUGACGCAGCCAUGCCGCGUGAAUGAUGAAGGUCUUNGGAUUGNANAAUUCUUUCACCGGGGANGAUAAUGACGGUACCCGGAGAAUAAGCCCCGGCAAACUUUGUGCCAGAAGCCGCGGUAAUACGAAGGGGGGCAGCGUUGCCUGGAAUUACUGGGCGUAAAGGGCGAGUAGGCGGAUCGUUAAGUAAGGGGUGAAAUCCCGGGGCUCAACCUCGGAACUGCCCUUGAUACUGGCGAUCUUGAGUAUGAGAAAGGUAUGUGGAACUCCGAGUGUAGAGGUGAAAUUCGUAGAUACUCGGAAGAACACCAGUGGCGAAGGCGACAUACUGGCUCAUUACUGACGCUGAGGCGCGAAAGCGUGGGGAGCAAAC